This is a long non-coding RNA of Pogona vitticeps (central bearded dragon), 3887 nucleotides long. Ensembl lists it as uncharacterized. The record is from Ensembl. NCBI's taxonomy places the organism in Eukaryota, Metazoa, Chordata, Lepidosauria, Squamata, Agamidae.
AAAAGAUCUUGGACCACCCUGGGUCUCAGUAAGAAGCACUUGAAAUACUGGUUCUUAUUACUGUUAUUGCCUUGUGCCUUUAAGUUGCUUCCGAUGUAUGGCCACCUUGUGAACUAGUGGCUUCCAAAAGGUCUACUCAUGAACAGCUCAGCUCUCCCAAACCCACAGCCCCGAGUUCCUUAAAGGAGCCAAUCCAUCUCAGAUUCGGUCUUCCUCAUUUCUUUCUUCCCCAAGCUGUUAGGGUUGAACUUUUUGAGUCCAUCUUUGGCCUUCGCGCGUUGGCGAGCGUGCCCGACUCUCUCUGAGCCAAGAGAUGCCAGCUGUGCUCGGGAAAAGCCCUUAGGUGUCCCCCCCCACACACUUUUCAGGAUCGUGGAGCCUGCAUGGCCAUUAUUGGGAUCCUGGGAUCGGUAGCCUCAUAAAAGUAACUUCCCCCAAACUUUGCGGGUCCGUUCUCUCCUGGCAACUCCUCCCCUGAAGGAUCUUUUAGCUGCUGCUUCUUUUUAACCCUUUGGCUGCCUUUUGCCUCUGCGGGAGUUUCAAGCGUUGAAAAGAGGUGCUUGGGAAAUCGGAUACCAAGGAUGGCUCCAGAGAAGCUCCACGUUCAUAUUCCCGGCCAGGUUUUCAGAAGAGGCGCCGGCAAAGGCGAUCCGUUCCCGGCUGGAGGGCCAGCCCUUCCCCUGCCCCGCUUCUCCGCCCCCUCUCCAUUCUUUGAUUCAUCCGGCGACUAACCCCCGGAUCCAAGACGCGAUAGAUCUUCUAUUUUUUGUUUUGUGUUGUUUUCCCCCUCCCCAGCUUCAUCGGCACCUUAUCUUUAGCUGUGACUUGAGAUGCUGGUGAGACCGCCCUACUGGACUUGCUCUUGCUGGCUAGGAGUUUGUUUCUGGCUUCUGACAGGCGAAGGAGGAUGUGUUAGCGCUCAGCUCUGCAGAAGCCCCCUGUGCAGCAGGAACAGCAACAAUGAGCAUCCGCCCAGCAAACAGCAGUGCCAGGGGCCUCACUGCUCAGGCAGGGUUGGGCAUACAUCCCGUGCCUUUCUUCACCCCGCCAGCCCUGUGCAAGGGCAGACACAGAGCAAGCAGCCGCCACCACCUCUCUUUUCCCUCCAGCAAGAGCAGAGGCAGCGGCAGCAGCAACCCUUUGUGGGUGGAAGACUUGAACACAGCUCUCUGUCCACAAGGCACACAGCAGAGAGUUGCUUUGGAGGAGGAGGAGGAGGAGACUGUGCCAUUAGGGCUCCCAAUGGUACCCUACGGAACUGCAAAGGCAUCGAGUGUCGGUUGCCCCCACGUCUUCGCCAGAAGCCGAGGCUAGCUAUCCAGGCUGUCCCUUGCCCCCCAAACCAGGAGGGAAGCUGUCCCGAGCCCUCUCUGGUCAGAGAAACUGAGAGGGCAGCCCAGUUUGUUGGAGAAGAUCUUGCCUACACAGCUUCUGAACUUGGGAGUGCCACUCUGGGCGUCCAGCUGACUUGCGAUGUUAAGCCAGGGGAAAAUGAAGUCCCAUCUGAAGAUGCCCUUGUACUCCAGCUUCAGCUCAUGAAAGGACAAGAGAAGUUUGUUGAAGCUCUCAAAAGCCAGCAGACCUUAAUCAUGGAUUUACAGCAAAAGUUGGCAGAGCAACAGAAUACGUUGGUUACCCAGCAGCGAGAAAUUAUUGAGCAACAGAGGAAAAUGUAUGAGCAGAUGGAUCUGAUAAAAGUCCAGUAUGGCAUGCUUUUUGACACUGUGAAGCAGAUGUCAUUGAAGGGUUUGCAAGAGGAUCUCCAGCACUAUUUUGAAGGCAAUCUACAAGGCCUUCGGAACCAACUCAGGAGCCACCUUCACAAGUCCUACUCUGGCCAUAAAAUUGAGUUUGAUGCCAAAGUGAUUGGGGAGCCUCUGAUGGGCUGUGGCCUUUGUGAAAGUGGUGAAUUUUGCAAUUUCCAGAAGACACCCUCUCGGUGUGAAAGAUGCACUUUGUGCCCUGCCGGCUUUUUCCAGCUGUCUGAAUGUUCUGCAAAUGCCGAUCGGAUCUGCCAGGAUAGAGAUGAAUGCGUUGAGUCACCAAGCAUCUGUGGGGAAAGAAUAAAAUGCCUAAACACUCCAGGAGGUUUCCGAUGCCUGGGUGUUGCUGAAAAAGAGGCUGCAUUGGGAUUGUGUGGAGAGGAAUAUUUCUUCAACAAAGAGGUGCUGGAGUGCCAAGCUUGCCUGACGUGUGAAGACGGGGUAGUUGCUUUCCCCUGUACUCUUGUUAGUGAUACCAUUUGUUCAACUGCCAGUGAAAACAAGCUUUCGGAGUCAUGGGCGGCGCACCUUGUUUUCCCUUUGGCAACGUCUAGCGCUUCUCAAGUUUAUCCAGGCUUUGACUUGACGAUAAAGGGAGAAGAGAAGUGCAAUAUAGUGACGGUGGAGGGCAACAGGGUGCUGUUCAAACAGCACGGCUUAAUGUGGGCUGACUUCAAUUUUGCGGUGAAACACAACUGUAGGAAUUUCCUCCACCUUUCUUUGAAAUUCAACAACAGUGAAGAAGACUACGAGUUGAGCGGAGUUCGUGUUGAACAGCCAGAAGGCAAAAUUUUGCAGAGCGUAACUCUGAGUAGCGCUACGGAGGUAGAACCAGGCCAUGUUCUUUCUGUUUUUUUGAAAAGCCCUAAUCAAUUCUGCAACCAAAGCAAAGACUUAAACGUUUAUGACCUCCAUGCACCUCUCAGUUUGUUUUGGUUGUCCCAUGACACCGGGGCAGUGGCGAUGACAGCCCAAACAUCAACUGCUGUGCACUACCAAACUAACUAUCGGCCAGCCUUUAAAUUGGUUUCUCUUUCCGACCCUUACAUGCUGGCUUUGUCCCACGAUGGCAGAGCCAUCAGGUUUACUGAAACGGGUGUUGUGAAGUUUGUUUUCCACCAAGCAUUAUACUCCAUGGGUCAUACCUGCAUUCGCGAAGGGUUUUCCCUGGCGUCUUACCUCAACAGAAAUGGCACCAAUACAGAACUAAUGACUGUGCAUAAGUCUGGUGUCAAUUACAGAGACACAACAAUAUCUGCCUCUGGGGCCACCAGAGUUGAAGCUGGGGAUCUGCUCAGCUUUGAAAUCCUGUCCCCAGCACAAUGCAGUGUUCGUUAUUUUGGAGACAGUUCUGGGAUUAGCAUGCUUAGCCUCAUCUGGAUCCCAUCCGCGGUUUCCACCGAACUUUCAGCCUUGGUCUCCAUAAGGGGGCUGCCAACAGGUGCUGUUAGAAACAGAUUAUUGGAUUUUACUCAGGUCUCACCAAGUGAAGAACAAAUCCAUCUCAUUUCUGCUGGACAAUAUGCUCACAAAUAUUUUGUAUUCAACGAAAGGGGAGUUGCUAGUGUUGCAUUUACCUUAAAGUUGAUUCAUUCCUGUAAUAUGCUCCAAGUGACUCUGAAUCAGCUUAUCAGUGAUCGUGGACAACCUAAAGCAGUUGCACAGCAGGUUGGUGGUCAAAUGCCAGAAGGAGCCAUUUGGACCAGUGUUAGCCUGCGUUCUUCUUUCAAAGUUCAUAAUGAAAUUGUCUGGAGAUAUUUCAUUCUAUCAAAUUCUGUGUAUUUUCAAAUGUGUACAGAGAUGGGAAAGAAAGUAAGACUCUAGGGCUAAAUUCAUUUACCUGGAAUUAUUUCUCGCUGAACUCAGUGGGGCUUUCUUCACUCCAGCAUGAAUAGAACUCCAGUGUAUAGGCAUUUAUAGGAUUAUACUGUAAGUAUGUUCACUUAAAUUACACAAAUUGUUGUUGAUGUUGUGGCUUCUGCUGGUGUUUAUGCAGAAUACAAUGCAUUAUGAAAACUAUAUUAGUUUAUACUAUUUUUUAUCUCUAAAUAUCAUUGUACUCUUUCUAAUGUGCACUGCAUCAGGACAGUUGAACAUAAAUAAAAAUAUUUAAUUUACCUGCCA